Molecule: ribosomal RNA, 736 nt
Filed under: uncultured Aeromicrobium sp.
Lineage: Bacteria; Bacillati; Actinomycetota; Actinomycetes; Propionibacteriales; Nocardioidaceae
Description: bacterial SSU rRNA
Rfam family: Bacterial small subunit ribosomal RNA
Source: RNAcentral
AUUAACAGGAUUAGAUACCCUGGUAGUCCACGCUGUAAACGAUGUCUACUAGCCGUUGGGGUCCUUAGUGACUUUGGUGGCGCAGCUAACGCGAUAAGUAGACCGCCUGGGGAGUACGGCCGCAAGGUUAAAACUCAAAUGAAUUGACGGGGGCCCGCACAAGCGGUGGAGCAUGUGGUUUAAUUCGAUGCAACGCGAAGAACCUUACCAGGCCUUGACAUCCUGCGAACUUUCUAGAGAUAGAUUGGUGCCUUCGGGAACGCAGUGACAGGUGCUGCGUGGCUGUCGUCAGCUCGUGUCGUGAGAUGUUGGGUUAAGUCCCGUAACGAGCGCAACCCUUGUCCUUAGUUGCCAGCACUUCGGGUGGGAACUCUAGGGAGACUGCCGGUGACAAACCGGAGGAAGGUGGGGACGACGUCAAGUCAUCAUGGCCCUUACGGCCUGGGCUACACACGUGCUACAAUGGUUGGUACAGAGGGUUGCGAAGUCGCGAGGCGGAGCUAAUCUCUCAAAGCCAAUCGUAGUCCGGAUUGGAGUCUGCAACUCGACGCCAUGAAGUCGGAAUCGCUAGUAAUCGCGGAUCGGAAUGCCGCGGUGAAUACGUUCCCGGGCCUUGUACACACCGCCCGUCACACCAUGGGAGUGGAUUGCACCAGAAGUAGUUAGUCUAACCUUCGGGAGGACGAUUACCACGGUGUGGUUCAUGACUGGGGUGAAGUCGUAACAAGGUAACCAA